AAAGAAAACAUGUUUCAAUAUACGAAUUUAACCAAAUAAUAUUAUUUAAUUUGCUCUGUUUUGGAUGGCUGGAUUUUUUAUCUGCAUGUGAGCAUUGUGCAAUGUGCAAUGCACACUGCACUACUUCUCCGCCAAUGGCAGCAGGACGCGUUAUCAGGGAGGCAGGAAGGGGAGGGCAGCACGCGGGAGACUGGCCCACGGUAUAUAAGGUGCAGCCGAACGACCGUACAACAUUAUUUGUAAACGUUCGGGGAGGGGGGUUAUUAGUUCGGCAGUUCUUUGUUUUGUUUUUGCUCGGCCAGAAGAUCGAUUGCAAGCCAGCAUUCUGACAUGGACAAAGUCUAGCUGAACUGUGGACGGACGGCGGCCACCGACCAUCACGGCUGCCUGAAGUCCAGCACCAGCGACAUGCUCUGCCGCUCGGGAGGCGUCAGCAGAGGCAGCGCGGUGCUGACGUCAUCGGAGGACCGAGGACCAGCAUCGCGCCGCCAUGGCUGACGGCCGACUGCAGCCCACAACACCAGGGUGCAGGGAGGGGGGGGGGAGGAGUGGGGUCAGCGUGUUCGACCGCUUUUGACUUUUGUGAAGAAAUUGUAUGUGUUGGCCUUUUGACUUCAAGAAAAAAAUUGCGGCUUUCGUUUGAUUUCGUUUGCUUGUCCAAUAAAGACUCAAAAAUG
Long non-coding RNA from Amphibalanus amphitrite, 677 nucleotides. RefSeq lists it as uncharacterized. The transcript is spliced from 2 exons. Lineage: Eukaryota; Metazoa; Arthropoda; Thecostraca; Balanomorpha; Balanidae. The record is from RefSeq and is a predicted model, not a curated record.